AUUGAACGCUGGCGGCAUGCCUUACACAUGCAAGUCGAGCGGCAGCGCGGGGGCAACCCUGGCGGCGAGCGGCGCACGGGUGAGUAAUACAUCGGAACGUGUCCUUUCGUGGGGGAUAACCAGUCGAAAGACUGGCCAAUACCGCAUGAGAUCUCACGAUGAAAGCGGGGGACCGCAAGGCCUCGCGCGAUUGGAGCGGCCGAUGUCGGAUUAGCUAGNGGCGGGGUAAAGCCCACCAAGGCGACGAUCCGUAGCUGGUUUGAGAGAACGACCAGCCACACUGGGACUGAGACACGGCCCAGACUCCUACGGGAGGCAGCAGUGGGGAAUUUUGGACAAUGGGGGCAACCCUGAUCCAGCCAUGCCGCGUGUGUGAAGAAGGCCU
RNAcentral lists this ribosomal RNA (385 nucleotides) under uncultured bacterium. RNAcentral describes it as "bacterial SSU rRNA". It matches the Rfam family "Bacterial small subunit ribosomal RNA", at positions 29 to 417 of the family's 1533-position model. The record is from RNAcentral.